GUGCAUGUUUCUCUUUGUUUUAGAGUGGGAGCCCUUACCUGAUGUUUCUGCUGAUGUAUGCAUAUUUAAGAAUAUAUGGUUUCAGAUUAGAAACGAAGUUAAAAUAUGUAUUUUCACCUAUUUUUCUUAAGCUGCAUGCCUGUACUCCUUGGGGGAGAAAAAGAGACUAUUUCACAUUUAAUCCUGUACAUUACAACUGGAUGUACAGCAGCCAUAAAGGGUCACCAAAGGGGUCUUUGUUGGGACAGAAAAGGCAGCAUGUGGCUGUCCACAGGCUAAAGGAACAAUAACCCAGUCAGAGCCUGUCCAUAGCUUUUCCCUGUGCAUCAGCUGAAGUUCAAGGGAUUUCUCUGAAAGUACUAACGACACAAUCAUUUUUCUCCUGUAUUUUUUAAUAAAAGCCCAAAGGCAAAGCAGGAAGCUGUUGCUCAGUGUGACACAUAUGGGGAUCUCAAUCCAGCUGCCAGCUUCCAGAGCUACAGAGACAUUUCUAGGCAUGACGGAUUUUGAAGCCACCUUGAGUUGUCUUUGUUCCUACUAAAGAGGAGUGCAAAAACUCCCUUAUACUCACAGGGGUACUAGAUCCAGCCCAGUUCUCUGGAAAACACAGCCAGAGGAAAACAUGGUCUAUAGUAUGAAUUGUUCUAACUCUGUGCCCUGUGCAGCAUUACUGCAGGAGUGAAUGUCAGUGCAUGAGCAUGCCCUGUUUUUUCCCCUCAUCUUGGACUAGAGGCACACCUUGCCCUCCCUGGAUGUGGAAGCUCCUACCAGCUCAUCCUCAGCUUCCCUUAAAAUAGAUUCAUUUCCAUCUUUGUGAGCAGAGCCCCUGCAAGUACAUUUCUGGUGGUAUUCUCCAUGCUGGCCACCUCUCCAUGCAUCCUUCCUACCCCAGCCCAUCGGUGUUUUCUUGAGUAAAGUCCUCUGGACAACAAAGGCCAGGAUUCAGCCAGGUCUGUUUAUGAUGUGUUAAUUAUUUUGCAGCAUGAACUGCCAGACCCCCACGAGUGAGCCAGUUCUCAGGCACAGUUGGCUCCUAGAGAAAGGAUAAUUUAUAACCAUGACACUUCCAAGGUCUCUCUCUUUUUCUCUCCUUCCCCUUCAUAGUCCUUGCUCUCAUCCCAACUGGUGAACAUGGGACAGACCACCCCAGCAUUUGCAGGGGGAGGCUGCUUUUCUGGUUUCCUAGCAUAAUGCUGUCUCAUCCUGAAACUGCAUAUUUGGUGCACUUUUAUUUGAACUCAUUUGCAAAAUGACAGAUGUUUCUGAUACGAUAAGAAACGUGGCCCAGAGGCGCUGCAGAGCUGCUUGUGCUCCUCACCUGAAUCACAAAUGAGAUAAUGCUUUCUUAUCUGUUAAAAAACACGAGCAACUGCACAUAUAAAUAACACAUCACUAAGUGCCAGCUGUUUGUGCCAAUGACAUUUUUCUUAAAAGAACAGCUCCCCCCGUCAUCUGCUUUCUCUCUUGCAGGAAAUCUGGAGCUCUUUUGCAAGCACAGCAGAAAAUAUAUUUUUUUUUCUUUUUUAAGCCGCAGUUACUUUAAAAUAAUUCCAUGUGAGCAAAAAACAGCUUUUAUGACUCAGAAGAGACCAUUUUUGCCUGGAGCUGAAUAACCCCAAGAUGCACCUCUGCUGACUGUCUGCAUGAAGGGUUUGAAAUUUUUAUCCUGAAUUUAUUCUUUUGCUUUUAAUUAAAUAAAAAAAAAUUAGUGCUUUGUCCUCAAAGUCUACUGCCACACUACAGAAUUUAAAAGUCUCAGUGUUUCACACACCUCUAGCGGCAAACCCUCUUCGUUGCCAAGACAACCCUGAAGAAAUACGAAAUCCAGAACAAUACCCUGUGUACGAGGAGCCUCGUAUUCUCUGGCGCACGCGUUCGUUGUGAAUGUCAAGGGAAACGCUGCCCUACCCUCCACAGCGACCCAGAGGAACAGCACUUGGAGCAGGGGACAUUGGAUUCCACAUAGCAAUGCAUCCAUUUUGCUGUGCACCCAGUGUGAAGAUAAACCCAUUUUAGCCUGCAUUGAGUCACAGCAGCAUCCCAAAAGUAAGCAGGAGAAACGCCGACAUCUUUUGCAUCAUUUUGUUCUUUGGCUCUCUGCUCCCUCUGUUCUGUCCUUUUGUACCAGCUGCCUGUCAGGUGUUCCCAGCAGGAGACUUGGCAGUGUUACAGGUGUAUCCUGAUGAACAUGGUCUUUACGUGGCAGGGAACCCUGGGGGACUGCAGCUUCCUCUCUUCUGCUGCACUUCUAGAACCACAUUACAUUCCUCCUUUUGCAAUUGUGUGCUGGGAUACAACAACUGCAGGACUUUGGGCUCUGAAUGAUGGGUACCAAGCAGUAUGACAGGGGCACCAAGCCAGCAGAACAAACCAGUUGGUGCUGACAACUCCAUGUCUAUAUUAUUGACACUUGGGGUUUUGACCUGAGGCUAGUAUGAGUUUAGUCCUGUAGGCUGAGCUCUGAAACUGUGUGGUAUUAAGUGAAGCACAGUCAGCCAGGGAUUCACUUCAGAAGCACUUACCUGUUCCAGAAUAAGACACAGAUGUAGAUUAGCAUUUGUGGAGCAGAGGGUCAAACUAAUCAGUGCCAAAAAACAAGUGUUGCAUAUUUGAGCAUCAUAGCAAGACACUCUGAAGCAGAGCUGGUUGUGGUUUCAUGGCUCCAUCAGCAUGUCCAGAGCUUCAGCUUCCAUGUCCAUGACAAUCUCUCCCUGGCUAUGGGAGAAACCCCAGAAGCAGCAGUUCUGCACUGUGCCUCUUUUGUCCUCCUGAAGAACAAACUCUACAGUGCACCGAGAACCAUCACACCUUUAUCCUGUUAAGAGACACAGCCUGUUAGAGCUUCGGGGGAGGCAUCCCUGAGCUCAGGCCACUCUGAUCCUCUUUUAGCUCCUUAGAAACAAACUGAAAACUCCUGGCUGCUCAGGAACAAAGGAGUAUGUGAAAGAACUGCAAUUUCAUAAACUGUCGAGUGGGAGUUGGAGCUAUUAUAGAACAUCCCGUUCCAAAAGGAAACAAAUGACAGCCUGACGCUGCCGGGUAGUAGUGACGUGUGCGGCCACAGAGUGAGUCAGUCUGUGUGAGAUUCAGAUAUGGACCUAGAGGGAAAACAUUUGUGGCAGCAGGACCGAUCACAUGCUCAUAGAUGGAAUUACCUCAGCUCAUUUUUCAUGCGUGUGUUAAUGUAGUUGCUGCGCUUCUUCAGCAAAAGGCAAAUAGUACAGAGGAAAAAGUCGCGUGUAGGAGCUGCCCUGUCUCUUCUUGCAGCCUCCUGCUUCCCACCCACACUCCUGCACUGCCAGUGAUAAUGUAUCACGAGCUGUGUUUUGGUAUAUCACUGUUUCGUUCAGUAAGAUGGAAUGUGCUGCUGUUAUUUUUGUUAUUAUUUGUGUUAUUUGCUCUGAAGGAAUAGUUGAAUUAGACAAUUAAGUGAAUUAUUGUGACAUUAUUUCGUUUAUCAGUGAAGUGAUGUUUUGCUUUAAUAGCUUAGAGUGCAGCUGAAUGCUUGUAUCCAUUUAAAAAUGAAAACUGAAGCCUAAGGAUCCUUUUAAGGCCUGAGAGGAGUCUGUAGAGCUGAUUCUCUGCUACAUGGGGGAUGUGCAAUGAUGUAUAAAUUGUGAAAUGCAUUGGCUGUUUACUGGAAAAUUAUGGUGAUCUCCUGGUUGUGGUCCAAGAUAAGAAACCAUGGCCAUGGUUUAAGGAAGCUUUAGUAGCAAUUUUACCUUGAGAUGCUUCUCAGCUUUUUUCCACACU
Poecile atricapillus (Black-capped chickadee) is the source of this 3753-nucleotide long non-coding RNA. RefSeq lists it as uncharacterized. The record is from RefSeq and is a predicted model, not a curated record. The transcript has 5 exons. Lineage: Eukaryota; Metazoa; Chordata; Aves; Passeriformes; Paridae.